This 500-nucleotide ribosomal RNA is filed under the name uncultured Glomeromycotina. Its description in RNAcentral is "partial small subunit ribosomal RNA". It matches the Rfam family "Eukaryotic small subunit ribosomal RNA", at positions 591 to 1092 of the family's 1831-position model. The record is from RNAcentral. Lineage: Eukaryota; Fungi; Glomeromycota.
CCAAUAGCGUAUAUUAAAGUUGUUGCAGUUAAAAAGCUCGUAGUUGAAUUUCGGGGUCAGUAGGUUGGUCGUGCCACUGGUAUGCACUGGUCUCACUGAUUCCUCCUUCCUGAUGAGCCGUAAUGCCAUUAAUUUGGUGUUGCGGGGAAUCUGGACUGUUACUUUGAAAAAAUUAGAGUGUUUAAAGCAGGCUAACGCUUGAAUACAUUAGCAUGGAAUAAUGAAAUAGGACGAUCGAUCCUAUUUUGUUGGUUUCUAGGAUUGACGUAAUGAUUAAUAGGGAUAGUUAGGGGCAUUAGUAUUCAAUUGUCAGAGGUGAAAUUCUUGGAUUUAUUGAAGACUAACUACUGCGAAAGCAUUUGCCAAGGAUGUUUUCAUUAAUCAAGAACGAAAGUUAGGGGAUCGAAGACGAUCAGAUACCGUCGUAGUCUUAACCAUAAACUAUGCCGACUAGGGAUCGGAUGAUGUUAAUUUUUUAAUGACUCAUUCGGCGCCUUACG